Molecule: ribosomal RNA, 469 nt
Filed under: uncultured bacterium
Lineage: Bacteria
Description: SSU rRNA
Rfam family: Bacterial small subunit ribosomal RNA
Source: RNAcentral
AGGACGAACGCUGGCGGCGUGCUUAACACAUGCAAGUGGAGCGACGAACCAGGGCUUGCCCUGGGGCAGAGCCGCGAACGGGUGAGUAACACGUGGGUUACCUGCCUCGAUGACCGGGACAACCCGAGGAAACUCGGGCUAAUACCGGAUGUGCCCGCAAGGGGAAAGGAAGCUUCGGCCUCCGCAUCGAGAUGAGCCCGCGGCCCAUUAGCUUGUUGGUGAGGUAACGGCUCACCAAGGCGACGACGGGUAGCCGGCCUGAGAGGGCGACCGGCCACACUGGGACUGAGACACGGCCCAGACUCCUACGGGAGGCAGCAGUGGGGAAUAUUGCGCAAUGGGCGAAAGCCUGACGCAGCGACGCCGCGUGGGGGAUGAAGGCCUUCGGGUUGUAACCCCUUUCAGCAGGGACGAAGCGAAGUGACGGUACCUGCAGAGAAGCGCCGGCUAACUACGCGCCAGCAGCCGC